AUUGAACGCUGGCGGCAGGCCUAACACAUGCAAGUCGGGCGGUAGCACAAAGGAGCUUGCUCCUUGGGUGACGAGCGGCGGACGGGUGAGUAAUGUCUGGGAAACUGCCUGAUGGAGGGGGAUAACUACUGGAAACGGUAGCUAAUACCGCAUAACGUCGCAAGACCAAAGAGGGGGACCCUCGGGCCUCUUGCCAUCGGAUGUGCCCAGAUGGGAUUAGCUAGUAGGUGAGGUAAAGGCUCACCUAGGCGACGAUCCCUAGCUGGUCUGAGAGGAUGACCAGCCACACUGGAACUGAGACACGGUCCAGACUCCUACGGGAGGCAGCAGUGGGGAAUAUUGCACAAUGGGCGCAAGCCUGAUGCAGCCAUGCCGCGUGUGUGAAGAAGGCCUUCGGGUUGUAAAGCACUUUCAGCGGGGAGGAAGGGAGCAGGCUUAAUACGUCUGUUCAUUGACGUUACCCGCAGAAGAAGCACCGGCUAACUCCGUGCCAGCAGCCGCCGUAA
This 506-nucleotide ribosomal RNA is filed under the name uncultured bacterium. Its description in RNAcentral is "partial 16S ribosomal RNA". It matches the Rfam family "Bacterial small subunit ribosomal RNA", at positions 30 to 523 of the family's 1533-position model. The record is from RNAcentral.